This 492-nucleotide ribosomal RNA is filed under the name uncultured bacterium. RNAcentral describes it as "partial 16S ribosomal RNA". It matches the Rfam family "Bacterial small subunit ribosomal RNA", at positions 29 to 507 of the family's 1533-position model. The record is from RNAcentral.
AGUGAACGCUGGCGGUAGGCUUAACACAUGCAAGUCGAACGGCAGCACAGUAAGAGCUUGCUCUUACGGGUGGCGCGUGGCGGAGGGGUGAGGUAUAUAUCGGACUCUAUUUUUUCGUGGGGGAUAACGUAGGGAAAUUUACGCUAAUACCGUACAUGCUCUACGGGUGAAAGCAGGAGAUCUUCGGAUCUUGCGAGUAUGUAUGAGCCGAUGUCGGAUUUGCUAGUUGGCGGGGUAAAGGCCCACCAAGGCGACGAUCGGUAGCUGGUCUGAGAGGAUGAUCGGCCACACGGGAACGGGAACACGGUCCAGACUCCUACGGAGGGCAGCAGUGGGGAAUAUUGGACAAUGGGCGCAAGCCUGAUCCAGCCAUGCCGCGUGGGUGAAGAAGGCCUUCGGAUUGUAAAGCCCUUUUAUUGGGGAAGAAAAGCAGCAGAUUAAUACCCCGCUGUUCUGACGGUACCCAAAGAAUAAGCACCGGCUAACUUCGUG